UGGCUCAGAUUGAACGCUGGCGGCAGGCCUAACACAUGCAAGUCGAACGGUAACAGGAAUCAGCUUGCUGAUUCGCUGACGAGUGGCGGACGGGUGAGUAAUGUCUGGGAAACUGCCUGAUGGAGGGGGAUAACUACUGGAAACGGUAGCUAAUACCGCAUAACGUCGCAAGACCAAAGAGGGGGACCUUCGGGCCUCUUGCCAUCGGAUGUGCCCAGAUGGGAUUAGCUAGUAGGUGGGGUAAAGGCUCACCUAGGCGACGAUCCCUAGCUGGUCUGAGAGGAUGACCAGCCACACUGGAACUGAGACACGGUCCAGACUCCUACGGGAGGCAGCAGUGGGGAAUAUUGCACAAUGGGCGCAAGCCUGAUGCAGCCAUGCCGCGUGUAUGAAGAAGGCCUUCGGGUUGUAAAGUACUUUCAGCGGGGAGGAAGGGAGUAAAGUUAAUACCUUUGCUCAUUGACGUUACCCGCAGAAGAAGCACCGGCUAACUCCGUGCCAGCAGCCGCGGUAAUACGGAGGGUGCAAGCGUUAAUCGGAAUUACUGGGCGUAAAGCGCACGCAGGCGGUUUGUUAAGUCAGAUGUGAAAUCCCCGGGCUCAACCUGGGAACUGCAUCUGAUACUGGCAAGCUUGAGUCUCGUAGAGGGGGGUAGAAUUCCAGGUGUAGCGGUGAAAUGCGUAGAGAUCUGGAGGAAUACCGGUGGCGAAGGCGGCCCCCUGGACGAAGACUGACGCUCAGGUGCGAAAGCGUGGGGGAGCAAACAGGAUUAGAUACCCUGGUAGUCCACGCCGUAAACGAUGUCGACUUGGAGGUUGUGCCCUUGAGGCGUGGCUUCCGGAGCUAACGCGUUAAGUCGACCGCCUGGGGAGUACGGCCGCAAGGUUAAAACUCAAACGAAUUGACGGGGGCCCGCACAAGCGGUGGAGCAUGUGGUUUAAUUCGAUGCAACGCGAAGAACCCUACCUGGUCUUGACAUCCACGGAAGUUUUCAGAGAUGAGAAUGUGCCUUCGGGAACCGUGAGACAGUUGCUGCAUGGCUGUCGUCAGCUCGUGUUGUGAAAUGUUGGGUUAAGUCCCGCAACGAGCGCAACCCUUAUCCUUUGUUGCCAGCGGUCCGGCCGGGAACUCAAAGGAGACUGCCAGUGAUAAACUGGAGGAAGGUGGGGAUGACGUCAAGUCAUCAUGGCCCUUACGACCAGGGCUACACACGUGCUACAAUGGCGCAUACAAAGAGAAGCGACCUCGCGAGAGCAAGCGGACCUCAUAAAGUGCGUCGUAGUCCGGAUUGGAGUCUGCAACUCGACUCCAUGAAGUCGGAAUCGCUAGUAAUCGUGGAUCAGAAUGCCACGGUGAAUACGUUCCCGGGCCUUGUACACACCGCCCGUCACACCAUGGGAGUGGGUUGCAAAAGAAGUAGGUAGCUUAACCUUCGGGAGGGCGCUUACCACUUUGUGAUUCAUG
Molecule: ribosomal RNA, 1464 nt
Filed under: uncultured organism
Description: SSU rRNA
Rfam family: Bacterial small subunit ribosomal RNA
Source: RNAcentral